This 465-nucleotide ribosomal RNA is filed under the name uncultured bacterium. RNAcentral's name for it is "partial 16S ribosomal RNA". It matches the Rfam family "Bacterial small subunit ribosomal RNA", at positions 28 to 507 of the family's 1533-position model. The record is from RNAcentral.
GACGAACGCUGGCGGCGUGCUUAACACAUGCAAGUCGAACGGAAAGGCCCCUUUGGGGGUACUCGAGUGGCGAACGGGUGCGUAACACUUGCGUAACCUGCCCUUGACUUCGGGAUAACUUCAGGAAACUGGGGCUAAUGCUGAUACGGAAUCCUAGCUUUAAGCUGGGGUUUGAAAUGUUCAGGGGGUUUUGGAUGGACUCCGGGCUUAUCCGCUUUUUGGUGGGGUAGUGGUUUACCAAGGCUUUGACGGGUAGCCGGCCUCAGAGGGGGACCGGCCACAUUGGGACUGCGAUACGGCCCAGACUCCAACGGGAGGCAGCAGUGGGGAGUAUUGCACAAUGGGCGGAAGCCUGAUGCAGCAGCGCCGCGUGCGUGAUGACGGCCUUCGGGUUGAAAACCGUUUUCAGCAGGGGCGAAGCUUGUGGUGACGGUACCUGCAGAAGAAGCACCGGCUAACUACGUG